GUUUAUAUAGUUUAAAAAAAACAUUUUAAUUUCAUUAAAAAAUUAAUAAUUUUAUUUAUAAAUU
Molecule: transfer RNA, 64 nt
Filed under: Allorhynchium sp. GX
Lineage: Eukaryota; Metazoa; Arthropoda; Insecta; Hymenoptera; Vespidae
Also listed under: 1 other name
Description: tRNA-Glu
Source: RNAcentral